This is a non-coding RNA of Mycena galericulata, 92 nucleotides long. NCBI's taxonomy places the organism in Eukaryota, Fungi, Basidiomycota, Agaricomycetes, Agaricales, Mycenaceae. The record is from the annotation of a GenBank genome assembly.
GGCCCGGUGGUGUAAUGGUAUCACGCCUGCCUGAUUUGAGCACUUUCAUCACGAGUCAGCGGGAGUUCCCGGUUCGAGUCUGGGUCAGGUCA